CGAAUUUACCGUCCGUCCGCGAGUUAUCGAGCGCUACACACCAUAGCGCCUUUCAUCGUUAAUUAUCGUGUAUUUGAACUUUCAACUGUAGGCAUUACGUUAGUUCGUACAAAGUCCUAAGGACUCUCUUAGCUUUGAUUGCGCGUAGUAUUGUUCAUCUUGAAGUGCUUGACAUUUUGCAUUUGAAGUUAAUAACCGAAUAGAAUAGUACCAACAUUCCAUUGGUAACUAUGCAAGCACCGCACAAUUCUACACCGAGGAUAAAAUCUGUAUUAAAGACGAAUGUAUAAAGACGAGUGCAUUAAUCUUUCGUUAAUAAAAAAUGUAAUGCAUUUCCUAGGAGAGGUGUUCACGUUAUCUUUUGUUCACACCGCCUGUAUUUUUGCUAAAAAUAAAAAUCUCAAGACUGAGUCAGGAUCCACGAUAAAAAGGAAGAAAGUCAGUAAAAUCUUCGCUCCAGAUCCUGUUAUCGCGAACCCGCCGCGAUCGUUCCGUGUCGUAUCGAUUUGUGCAGCUGAGCGUCGAGGGUGGAUAUCGCGAAAAUCAAAUCCGGGGGAAAUUACGUGAGGAUUAUACACGGUCAGUCACGAGGCAGAGGCCGCCCAGGAGGGAAAGAGCCUUGCGCACGUUGGCAUCUCGAAAGUUCCGCGCUCUCUUCCUCUCUCUCUCUCUCUCUCUCUCUCUCUCUCUCUCUCUCUCUCUCUCUCUUUCGAUCCGCAGCUGCUGCGAUAAUGGCCGGUUUACGCGGAAACCGGUAGCCGGGUGGUGGUAGCUAGUAGUCAAGUAGCGGAUUUAUGCUAGGCCGCUUAACUCCCUCUUUUUCGAGCGAGUACUCGGGCUGUAAAACGCUGUUUACACAGUCGCGAGCCCGCUUUGGGCGGAUCGGUCGCGCGAUUAUGCCAAAGGAAUGCGCCCGCACCGUCAUUUUCCCAUUAUUCCGGUUCGAGUCUCGGGCCUUGUAAUACGAGCUGGCGAUCUCCCCGAUGGGGGAUCCCCGACACGUCCAAGAUAAACGGACCGCGCGCUCGCGCGCGCGCGCGCGCUAUUGACGACGAACGAUAACGCGAGUAUCGGGAACGAUAAUUCGGAUUAUUACUACAGGGUUGUCUCUCUGAGACCGCGGAGAGGAAGAGUAUAAACCGGAGACGUCUUUUCUCUCGGCGGGAUUCCGACUAUCCGAUUCGUGCACGCAAUAGACUCAACAGGGUUGAUGAUUAUUACUCUUGUGGAGCGUAGGCCAUAAGCCGGUCUUGUGUAACCGAGUGCGAUAUUCAUGUGCCGCGGCGCGUUCUUCCCCUUCCUUUUUUUUUGCCCUCUCUUUGAGAAACGUGAGUGUGCACGGAAUCCCCGUCGUAUCUUCGUCGACGAUCAAGUUCAUCGUCUCUCUUACGUGCGAAUUGUCGUACGGCAAAAGAUCUCUUUUACAAUUCCUAAUUUAACAUCAUCUCUAUACGUCACUCACUGGACGGAUCUAGAAUAAAAAGUAACCAUAUUCUACAAAAAGAAAAUCAAUAAACAUUUCUAAAAGUAGCAUCUUAAUUGCUACCAUGCUUUUCUGUAAAAAAGGAAGGACUCGGAAACGGGCCUUUCUUUUAGAUUCAAAGUAGAAUAAUUCCCUUAAUUACUCGUGGCUGGGAGCCUUGAGUAUACAGGACGAGGUCCACGAGCUUGUCGGGAGAUUGUUUGUCGAGGCGAGCAAAGAGAUUUGCCUCGUUACGGCCUUUAAAAGUUAUAACGACAAAAGUUGCUCGCUCUUUCUUUGAAUAUUCCGAGUAUCAUCGCGUAAACUGACGCAAGUCAUUUAAGUCCCGGCGUAAUUCUCACGUUAAUAUUCACACGACGAAUAACAUAAGAUGUCGAGAGAACUUGACAUGCAAAGCUUGGCUAUCCGUUUGCGGCUGCGCAGAAAAAAAUUAGAAUCAAUUAACAAUCAUUAGCUUACAUGUAAUCAAGAAUAUAAAAUUUUCUCUCUCUAAAGAGUUUAAAUCUUAAAUUUCCGCAAAAUAUUAUAUUUUUAUAUAAAUCAAUAUUAUAACAAUUAUUAUAAAAGCGCAAUACGUAUGAUUGUUUUGAUAACAAUAAUGUUAUAUCGAAAGAAAAAAAUA
Long non-coding RNA from Monomorium pharaonis (pharaoh ant), 2105 nucleotides. RefSeq lists it as uncharacterized. NCBI's taxonomy places the organism in Eukaryota, Metazoa, Arthropoda, Insecta, Hymenoptera, Formicidae. The transcript is spliced from 2 exons. The record is from RefSeq and is a predicted model, not a curated record.